Molecule: ribosomal RNA, 492 nt
Filed under: uncultured bacterium
Lineage: Bacteria
Description: partial 16S ribosomal RNA
Rfam family: Bacterial small subunit ribosomal RNA
Source: RNAcentral
AGUGAGCGCUGGCGGUAGGCCUAACACGUGCAAGUCGAACGGCAGCACAGUAAGAGCUUGCUCUUACGGGUGGCGAGUGGCGGACGGGUGAGGAAUACAUCGGAAUCUACUUUUUCGUGGGGGAUAACGUAGGGAAACUUACGCUAAUACCGCAUACGACCUACGGGUGAAAGCAGGGGAUCUUCGGACCUUGCGCGAUUGAAUGAGCCGAUGUCGGAUUAGCUAGUUGGCGGGGUAAAGGCCCACCAAGGCGACGAUCCGUAGCUGGUCUGAGAGGAUGAUCAGCCACACUGGAACUGAGACAUGGUCCAGACUCCUACGGGAGGCAGCAGUGGGGAAUAUUGGACAAUGGGCGCAAGCCUGAUCCAGCCAUACCGCGUGGGUGAAGAAGGCCUUCGGGUUGUAAAGCCCUUUUGUUGGGAAAGAAAAGCAGCAGGUUAAUACCCCGCUGUUCUGACGGUACCCAAAGAAUAAGCACGGGCUAACUUCGUG